CUACGGGCGGCUGCAGUGGGGAAUAUUGCACAAUGGAGGAAACUCUGACGCAGCAACGCCGCGUGGAGGAUGACACUUUUCGGAGCGUAAACUCCUUUUAUAUAGGAAGAAGAUGACGGUACUAUAUGAAUAAGCGCCGGCUAACUCCGUGCCAGCAGCCGCGGUAAUACGGAGGGCGCAAGCGUUACUCGGAAUCACUGGGCGUAAAGAGCGUGUAGGCGGAUUAAAAAGUCAGAAGUGAAAUCCUAUAGCUUAACUAUAGAACUGCUUCUGAAACUCUUAAUCUAGAAUAUGGGAGAGGUAGAUGGAAUUUCUGGUAUAGGGGUAACAUCCGUAGAGAUCAGAAGGAAUACCGAUUGCGAAGGCGAUCUACUAGAACAUUAUUGACGCUGAGACGCGAAAGCGUGGGGAGCAAACAGGAUUAGAUACCCCCGUAGUC
This 439-nucleotide ribosomal RNA is filed under the name uncultured bacterium. Its description in RNAcentral is "partial 16S ribosomal RNA". It matches the Rfam family "Bacterial small subunit ribosomal RNA", at positions 339 to 795 of the family's 1533-position model. The record is from RNAcentral.